This 403-nucleotide ribosomal RNA is filed under the name uncultured bacterium. Its description in RNAcentral is "partial 16S ribosomal RNA". It matches the Rfam family "Bacterial small subunit ribosomal RNA", at positions 28 to 526 of the family's 1533-position model. The record is from RNAcentral.
GACGAACGCUGGCGGCGUGCCUAAUACAUGCAAGUCGAACGCAGGGGGGACGGGUGAGUAACACGUGGGUAACCUCCCAUCAGAGGGGAUAACAGGUGGAAACAGGUGCUAAACUGAUACUGAUGGCUGGACCAGCGGUGCAUUAGCUAGUUGGUGUGGUAAGGGCUCACCAAGGCAACGAUGCAUAGCCGACCUGAGAGGGUGAUCGGCCACACUGGAACUGAGACACGGUCCAGACUCCUACGGGAGGCAGCAGUAGGGAAUCUUCCGCAAUGGACGAAAGUCUGACCGAGCAACGCCGCGUGAGUGAAGAAGGUUUUCGGAUCGUAAAACUCUGUUGUUAGAGAAGCGGUAUCUAACCAGAAAGCCACGGCUAACUACGUGCCAGCAGCCGCGGUAAUAC